Molecule: ribosomal RNA, 419 nt
Filed under: bacterium
Lineage: Bacteria
Description: partial 16S ribosomal RNA
Rfam family: Bacterial small subunit ribosomal RNA
Source: RNAcentral
UGGGGGAUUUUGCACAAUGGGCGAAAGCCUGAUGCAGCGACGCCGCGUGGGGGAUGAAGGCCUUCGGGUUGUAAACUUCUUUUGCUCUGAACAAGGCGCACCAUGGGGUGUGUUGAGUGUAGGGGUUGAUUAGCGCCGGCUAACUACGUGCCAGCAGCCGCGGUAAUACGUAGGGCGCGAGCGUUGUCCGGAAUUAUUGGGCGUAAAGGGCUUGUAGGUGGCUGGUUGCGUCUGUCGUGAAAGCUCAUGGCUUAACUGUGGGUUUGCGGUGGGUACGGGCUGGCUUGAGUGCAGUAGGGGAGGCUGGAAUUCCUGGUGUAGCGGUGGAAAGCGCAGAUAUCAGGAGGAAUACCGGUGGCGAAGGCGGGUCUCUGGGCUGUUACUGACACUGAGGAGCGAAAGCAUGGGGGGCGAACAGG